UAGGGAAUCUUCGGCAAUGGACGGAAGUCUGACCGAGCAACGCCGCGUGAGUGAAGAAGGUUUUCGGAUCGUAAAGCUCUGUUGUAAGAGAAGAACGAGUGUGAGAGUGGAAAGUUCACACUGUGACGGUAUCUUACCAGAAAGGGACGGCUAACUACGUGCCAGCAGCCGCGGUAAUACGUAGGUCCCGAGCGUUGUCCGGAUUUAUUGGGCGUAAAGCGAGCGCAGGCGGUUAGAUAAGUCUGAAGUUAAAGGCUGUGGCUUAACCAUAGUAGGCUUUGGAAACUGUUUAACUUGAGUGCAAGAGGGGAGAGUGGAAUUCCAUGUGUAGCGGUGAAAUGCGUAGAUAUAUGGAGGAACACCGGUGGCGAAAGCGGCUCUCUGGCUUGUAACUGACGCUGAGGCUCGAAAGCGUGGGGAGCAAACAGGAUUAGAUACCCUGGUAGUCCACGCUGUAAACGAUGAGUGCUAGGUGUUAGACCCUUUCCGGGGUUUAGUGCCGUAGCUAACGCAUUAAGCACUUCGCCUGGGGAGUACGACCGCAAGGUUG
This 550-nucleotide ribosomal RNA is filed under the name uncultured bacterium. RNAcentral's name for it is "bacterial SSU rRNA". It matches the Rfam family "Bacterial small subunit ribosomal RNA", at positions 355 to 896 of the family's 1533-position model. The record is from RNAcentral.